Long non-coding RNA from Micropterus salmoides (largemouth bass), 331 nucleotides. RefSeq lists it as uncharacterized. The transcript has 4 exons. Lineage: Eukaryota; Metazoa; Chordata; Actinopteri; Centrarchiformes; Centrarchidae. The record is from RefSeq and is a predicted model, not a curated record.
CAGGAGGAGCAGCAGAGGAGGGAUGAAGCUGAGAAAAAGUUCAGAUACUGAAAGAUGAGCUGGAGACCAAGAGGAAUGAGGUUGAAACCAAACAAGCUGAGCUGCAGCAGCUCCAAGAAGAGAAGCAGAGGAAGGAGAACGACCUGCAGACUGUGAAGGAAGAGCUGGAGAACAAGAACAAAGAGCUGGAGAGAAUUCAAACCAAACGACACAGCUUUCACUUUUUUUUGAAUCGACACUUUAGAGGACAGGAGAUCAAAGCUGGGGAGACACUGAAGACAAAGCUGGAGAUCCAUGAAAUUGAAUUAGACACCCAAAUCAUGGAGGUUUG